UACGUAGGGUGCGAGCGUUGUCCGGAAUCACUGGGCGUAAAGCGUGCGCAGGCGGUCAUGAAAGUCAGGAGUGAAAUCCCAGGGCUUAACCUUGGAAUUGCUUUUGAAACUCCAUGACUAGAGUACUGGAGGGGUUGGCGGAAUUUCGAGUGUAGCAGUGAAAUGCGUAGAUAUUCGAAGGAACACCGAUGGCGUAGGCAGCCAACUAGACAGUAACUGACGCUCAUGCACGAAAGCGUGGGGAUCAAACAGG
RNAcentral lists this ribosomal RNA (253 nucleotides) under uncultured bacterium. RNAcentral describes it as "partial 16S ribosomal RNA". It matches the Rfam family "Bacterial small subunit ribosomal RNA", at positions 524 to 776 of the family's 1533-position model. The record is from RNAcentral.